GAUGAACGCUGGCGGCGUGCCUAAUACAUGCAAGUCGAGCGAACAGAUGAGGAGCUUGCUCCUCUGACGUUAGCGGCGGACGGGUGAGUAACACGUGGAUAACCUACCUAUAAGACUGGGAUAACUUCGGGAAACCGGAGCUAAUACCGGAUAAUAUAUUGAACCGCAUGGUUCAAUAGUGAAAGACGGUUUUGCUGUCACUUAUAGAUGGAUCCGCGCCGCAUUAGCUAGUUGGUAAGGUAACGGCUUACCAAGGCAACGAUGCGUAGCCGACCUGAGAGGGUGAUCGGCCACACUGGAACUGAGACACGGUCCAGACUCCCACGGGAGGCAGCAGUAGGGAAUCUUCCGCAAUGGGCGAAAGCCUGACGGAGCAACGCCGCGUGAGUGAUGAAGGUCUUCGGAUCGUAAAACUCUGUUAUUGGGGAAGAACAAAUGUGUAAGUAACUAUGCACGUCUUGACGGUACCUAAUCAGAAAGCCACGGCUAACUACGUG
RNAcentral lists this ribosomal RNA (497 nucleotides) under uncultured bacterium. RNAcentral describes it as "partial 16S ribosomal RNA". It matches the Rfam family "Bacterial small subunit ribosomal RNA", at positions 28 to 507 of the family's 1533-position model. The record is from RNAcentral.